Molecule: ribosomal RNA, 372 nt
Filed under: Helicops angulatus
Lineage: Eukaryota; Metazoa; Chordata; Lepidosauria; Squamata; Dipsadidae
Description: partial 16S ribosomal RNA
Rfam family: Bacterial large subunit ribosomal RNA
Source: RNAcentral
UGUCUAUUAAUUGUAGACCAGUAUGAAUGGCAAAAUGAGGAUCUAACUGUCUCCUAUAAUUAAUCAAUUAAACUGAUCUCCUAGUAAAAAAGCUAAGAUACCCCCAUAAGACCAGAAGACCCUGCGAAGCUUAAACUAAACUAUUACACCCCAUAAUAACUACUUUCGGUUGGGGCGACCUUGGAAAAAAAAAGAACUUCCAAACAAAUGACCAUAAAUCACCCCACUAACAGGCCUACAAGCCUAAAGACCCAGUCUAACUGACAAACGAACCAAGUUACUCCAGGGAUAACAGCGCCAUCUUCUUCCAGAGCCCAUAUCAAAAAGAAGGCUUACGACCUCGAUGUUGGAUCAGGACAUCCUAAUGGUGCA